This 442-nucleotide ribosomal RNA is filed under the name uncultured bacterium. Its description in RNAcentral is "partial 16S ribosomal RNA". It matches the Rfam family "Bacterial small subunit ribosomal RNA", at positions 338 to 795 of the family's 1533-position model. The record is from RNAcentral.
CCUACGGGUGGCAGCAGUGGGGAAUAUUGGGCAAUGGGCGCAAGCCUGACCCAGCAACGCCGCGUGAAGGAAGAAGGCUUUCGGGUUGUAAACUUCUUUUAAGAGGGGAGAGCAGAAGACGGUACCUCUUGAAUAAGCCACGGCUAACUACGUGCCAGCAGCCGCGGUAAUACGUAGGGAGCGAGCGUUGUCCGGAUUUACUGGGUGUAAAGGGUGCGUAGGCGGCUUGGCAAGUCAGUAGUGAAAUCCAUGGGCUUAACCCAUGAACUGCUAUUGAAACUGUCGAGCUUGAGUGAAGUAGAGGUAGGCGGAAUUCGCGGUGUAGCGGUGAAAUGCGUAGAGAGCGGGAAGAACACCGGUGGCGAAGGCAGCCUACUGGGCUUUAACUGACGCUGAGGCACGAAAGCGUGGGUAGCAAACAGGAUUAGAUACCCCAGUAGUC